CGUAGGGUGCGAGCGUUAAUCGGAAUUACUGGGCGUAAAGCGUGCGCAGGCGGUUUUGUAAGACAGGCGUGAAAUCCCCGGGCUCAACCUGGGAACUGCGCUUGUGACUGCAAGGCUAGAGUACGGCAGAGGGGGUGGAAUUCCACGUGUAGCAGUGAAAUGCGUAGAGAUGUGGAGGAACACCAAUGGCGAAGGCAGCCCCCUGGGUCGAUACUGACGCUCAUGCACGAAAGCGUGGGUAGCAAACAGGAUUAGAUACCCUGGUAGUCCACGCCCUAAACGAUGUCAACUAGGUGUUGGGUGGGUAAAACCAUUUAGUACCGGAGCUAACGCGUGAAGUUGACCGCCUGGGGAGUACGGCCGCAAGGCUA
RNAcentral lists this ribosomal RNA (371 nucleotides) under uncultured organism. RNAcentral's name for it is "bacterial SSU rRNA". It matches the Rfam family "Bacterial small subunit ribosomal RNA", at positions 526 to 896 of the family's 1533-position model. The record is from RNAcentral.